AGUGAACGCUGGCGGCGUGCCUAAUACAUGCAAGUCGAACGGACGAGUAAGAGCUUGCUCUUAUGAGUUAGUGGCGCACGGGUGAGUAAUGUAUAGCUAAUCUGCCCUACACUAGAGGACAACAGUUGGAAACGACUGCUAAUACUCUAUACACCUCUCUAGCAUAAGUUAGAUAGGGAAAGUUUUUCGGUGUAGGAUGAGGCUAUAUUGUAUCAGCUAGUUGGUGGGGUAAUGGCUCACCAAGGCUAUGACGCAUAACUGGUCUGAGAGGAUGAUCAGUCACACUGGAACUGAGACACGGUCCAGACUCCUACGGGAGGCAGCAGUAGGGAAUAUUGCUCAAUGGGGGAAACCCUGAAGCAGCAACGCCGCGUGGAGGAUGACACUUUUCGGAGCGUAAACUCCUUUUGUUAGGGAAGAACAAUGACG
RNAcentral lists this ribosomal RNA (429 nucleotides) under Campylobacter concisus. RNAcentral describes it as "bacterial SSU rRNA". It matches the Rfam family "Bacterial small subunit ribosomal RNA", at positions 29 to 457 of the family's 1533-position model. Lineage: Bacteria; Pseudomonadati; Campylobacterota; Epsilonproteobacteria; Campylobacterales; Campylobacteraceae. The record is from RNAcentral.